AAUAAGAAAGUAAUAAAGGGCGCAUGGGGAAUGCCUGGGCUCUCAGAGGCGAAGAAGGACGUGAUAAGCUGCGAAAAGUCAUGGGUAGGUGCAAAUAACCAUUAAUCCGUGAAUCUCCGAAUGGGGCAACCCGGCCAUUAGCAAUAGUGGUCAUCCUAUUUAUAGGAAGCAAACCCGCUGAACUGAAACAUCUAAGUAGGCGGAGGAAAAGAAAACAAAAGUGAUUCCCAUAGUAGCGGCGAGCGAACAGGGAACAGCCUAAACCAAUAUUGUUUCGGCAAUAUUGGGGUUGUAGGACCGACAUAAUUAUUAUUAAUACGAAGUGGAAGCAUUUGGAAAGUUGCAUCACAGAGGGUGACAAUCCCGUACAUGCAAGUAUGAUAAUAAGGUUGGUAUCCUGAGUAGCGCGGAACACGAGAAAUUCUGUGUGAAUCAGCCGGGACCAUCCGGUAAGGCUAAAUACUCCUGAGAGACCGAUAGUGAACCAGUACCGUGAGGGAAAGGUGAAAAGCACCCCGAACAGGGGAGUGAAAUAGUACCUGAAACCGUGCGCCUACAAGCGGUCGGAGCCAAUU
Molecule: ribosomal RNA, 575 nt
Filed under: Candidatus Viridilinea mediisalina
Lineage: Bacteria; Bacillati; Chloroflexota; Chloroflexia; Chloroflexales; Oscillochloridaceae
Description: bacterial LSU rRNA
Rfam family: Bacterial large subunit ribosomal RNA
Source: RNAcentral